RNAcentral lists this transfer RNA (71 nucleotides) under Ovis aries (sheep). It matches the Rfam family "tRNA". From Rfam's summary of the family: Transfer RNA (tRNA) molecules are approximately 80 nucleotides in length. Their secondary structure includes four short double-helical elements and three loops (D, anti-codon, and T loops). Lineage: Eukaryota; Metazoa; Chordata; Mammalia; Artiodactyla; Bovidae. The record is from Rfam by way of RNAcentral.
UCCCAGGUGGCUAAGUGGUGAAGAAUCUACCUGUCAAGCAGAAGAUGCAGGUUCAAUCCCUGGGUUGGGAA